AUUGAACGCUGGCGGCAUGCCUUACACAUGCAAGUCGAACGGCAGCACGGGUGCUUGCACCUGGUGGCGAGUGGCGAACGGGUGAGUAAUACAUCGGAACAUGUCCUGUAGUGGGGGAUAGCCCGGCGAAAGCCGGAUUAAUACCGCAUACGAUCUACGGAUGAAAGCGGGGGCCCUUCGGGCCUCGCGCUAUAGGGUUGGCCGAUGGCUGAUUAGCUAGUUGGUGGGGUAAAGGCCUACCAAGGCGACGAUCAGUAGCUGGUCUGAGAGGACGACCAGCCACACUGGGACUGAGACACGGCCCAGACUCCUACGGGAGGCAGCAGUGGGGAAUUUUGGACAAUGGGCGAAAGCCUGAUCCAGCAAUGCCGCGUGUGUGAAGAAGGCCUUCGGGUUGUAAAGCACUCUUGUCCGGAAAGAAAUCCUUGGCCCUAAUACGGUCGGGGGAUGACGGUACCGGAAGAAUAAGCACCAGCUAACUACGUG
Molecule: ribosomal RNA, 486 nt
Filed under: uncultured bacterium
Lineage: Bacteria
Description: partial 16S ribosomal RNA
Rfam family: Bacterial small subunit ribosomal RNA
Source: RNAcentral